RNAcentral lists this ribosomal RNA (896 nucleotides) under uncultured eukaryote. Its description in RNAcentral is "SSU rRNA". It matches the Rfam family "Eukaryotic small subunit ribosomal RNA", at positions 636 to 1469 of the family's 1831-position model. The record is from RNAcentral.
CGGUGUUCAACUGGCGUGUCCGCGGGACGUCCUGCCGGUGGGCUUAGCCCGCAAGGGCAGCCCAACUUCAAAUCCCAUCGCGGUGCUCUUCACUGAGUAUCGAGGUGGGCCGGCACGUUUACUUUGAACAAAUUAGAGUGCUUAAAGCAGGCUAAAACUUCGCCUGAAUACUGUGCAUGGUUGGUGCAUGGUGGUGCAUGGAGUAAUGGAAUAGGACCUCGGUUCUAUUUUGUUGGUUUUCGGAACCCCGAGGUAAUGAUUAAUAGGAACGGAUGGGGGCAUUCGUAUUGCGACGUUAGAGCUGAAAUUCUUGGAUCGUCGCAAGACGGACAGAAGCGAAAGCAUUUGCCAAAAACGCUUUCAUUGAUCAAGAACAAAAGUUAGAGGUUCGAAGGCGAUCAGAUAUCGCCCUAGUUCUAACCAUAAACGAUGCCAGCUAGCGAUCCGUCGACGUUCCUCCGGUGACUCGACGGGCAGCUUCCGGGAAACCAAAGCUUUUGGGUUCCGGGGGAAAAAUAGUUGCAAAGCUGAAACUUAAAGGAAUUGACGGAAGGGCACCACCAGGAGUGGAGCCUGCGGCUUAAUUUGACUCAACACGGGAAACCUCACCAGGCCCGGACACCGGAAGGAUUGACAGAUUGAGAGCUCUUCCUUGAUUCGGUGGGUGGUGGUGCAUGGCCGUUCUUAGUUGGUGGAGCGAUUUGUCUGGUUAAUUCCGAUAACGAACGAGAGUCUAGCCUGCUAACUAGGUGUAUUUUCGACAUCUCAAAGGUCCGUCGUCCCGGCCCGCGGGUCGUGGGCGUGCGCGAUUUUUACUGUCGGCGUACUAUCAAUUCUUCUAAGAGGGGCAGGUGGCUUCUAGCCGCACGAGAUUGAGCAAUAACAGGUCUGUGAUG